CCUACGGGGGGCAGCAGUGAGGAAUAUUGGUCAAUGGACGCAAGUCUGAACCAGCCAUGCCGCGUGCAGGAAGACGGCUCUAUGAGUUGUAAACUGCUUUUGUACGAGGAUAAACGGAGAUACGCGUAGCUGACUGCAAGUAUCGUACGAAUAAGGAUCGGCUAACUCCGUGCCAGCAGCCGCGGUAAUACGGAGGUGUCAAGCGUUAUCCGGAUUUAUUGGGUUUAAAGGGUGCGUAGGCGGUCGGUUAAGUUUGAGGUGAAAUCCCGCGGCUCAACUUCGGCAUUGCCUCUGAUACUGGUCGGCUAGAGCGUACCUGCGGUAGGCGGAAUGUAUGGUGUAGCGGUGAAAUGCUU
RNAcentral lists this ribosomal RNA (356 nucleotides) under uncultured bacterium. RNAcentral describes it as "partial 16S ribosomal RNA". It matches the Rfam family "Bacterial small subunit ribosomal RNA", at positions 338 to 691 of the family's 1533-position model. The record is from RNAcentral.